Molecule: ribosomal RNA, 536 nt
Filed under: uncultured bacterium
Lineage: Bacteria
Description: partial 16S ribosomal RNA
Rfam family: Bacterial small subunit ribosomal RNA
Source: RNAcentral
UGGGGAAUUUUGGACAAUGGGCGAAAGCCUGAUCCAGCAAUGCCGCGUGUGUGAAGAAGGCCUUCGGGUUGUAAAGCACUUUUGUCCGGAAAGAAAUCCUUGGCUCUAAUACAGUCGGGGGAUGACGGUACCGGAAGAAUAAGCACCGGCUAACUACGUGCCAGCAGCCGCGGUAAUACGUAGGGUGCAAGCGUUAAUCGGAAUUACUGGGCGUAAAGCGUGCGCAGGCGGUUUGCUAAGACCGAUGUGAAAUCCCCGGGCUCAACCUGGGAACUGCAUUGGUGACUGGCAGGCUAGAGUAUGGCAGAGGGGGGUAGAAUUCCACGUGUAGCAGUGAAAUGCGUAGAGAUGUGGAGGAAUACCGAUGGCGAAGGCAGCCCCCUGGGCCAAUACUGACGCUCAUGCACGAAAGCGUGGGGAGCAAACAGGAUUAGAUACCCCUGGUAGUCCACGCCCUAAACGAUGUCAACUAGUUGUUGGGGAUUCAUUUCCUUAGUAACGUAGCUAACGCGUGAAGUUGACCGCCUGGGGAGUAC